UACGUAGGGUGCGAGCGUUGUCCGGAUUUAUUGGGCGUAAAGGGCUCGUAGGCGGUCUGUCGCGUCGGCUGUGAAAUCCCGAGGCUCAACCUCGGGUCUGCAGUCGAUACGGGCAAACUAGAGUAUUGCAGGGGAGACUGGAAUUCCUGGUGUAGCGGUGAAAUGCGCAGAUAUCAGGAGGAACACCGGUGGCGAAGGCGGGUCUCUGGGCAAUAACUGACGCUGAGGAGCGAAAGCGUGGGGAGCGAACAGG
Molecule: ribosomal RNA, 253 nt
Filed under: uncultured bacterium
Lineage: Bacteria
Description: partial 16S ribosomal RNA
Rfam family: Bacterial small subunit ribosomal RNA
Source: RNAcentral